AGUUAUCACAUAUUUGAUUCAAAAUGUGGCCCAUCUUUUGUUUGUCAUAUAUGGUGGGUUCCCUGAUACAUGGAGUGGUUCCUCGAUGCUAUUGCUUUUUAACAUCUUUGUCCAGCUAUAAAGCUUUCUAUAUCAUCUGGUGUCAUCUUCUUUGGAUAUUUUAAACAGCGUCACUAUUAUUAAAAAAAAAAUAGUUAUUUUUCUGUACAAGUAUUAAUCCAAUAGUAUGAAAAACUAAUUUGAAUGUUUUUGAUUUGGUUGCUUGACAAGUGCAGCUUGGAAUUGUGCUUAAGCAUUAUCGGGUGGCAGAUGAUGAUAUCUCUUUGUUUCUUGGCAGCAACAAGUGUGUGGGUGUCCAAUGAACUCGGUAGAUGCAUAUCGAAAGGAGUGAAAUUUGCAAUGGCGGUGCGACACUUACAUCAUUGGUUGUGUUGUUUGUGUUUUCCUGUUUUACAAAAGAUAAUUUUCCUACAUAUGUAGGAUGGAUAAAGCCGUAGCAACAAAAGCUGAUAGAUACCUUGUCACCUUUUCUUGCUUUCUCUGUACUUCUUAACAACAAUGUUUAAGUAACAUUGGUGAAAU
Molecule: long non-coding RNA, 582 nt
Organism: Papaver somniferum (opium poppy)
Lineage: Eukaryota; Viridiplantae; Streptophyta; Magnoliopsida; Ranunculales; Papaveraceae
Exons: 3
Source: RefSeq, a predicted model, not a curated record